AGUCCAUGGUCUUUGCUCGGA
This 21-nucleotide microRNA is filed under the name Rosa chinensis. RNAcentral's name for it is "sRNA RchiOBHm_Chr1g0344415". The record is from RNAcentral. Lineage: Eukaryota; Viridiplantae; Streptophyta; Magnoliopsida; Rosales; Rosaceae.